AGGGUUUGAUCCUGGCUCAGAUUGAACGCUGGCGGCAGGCUUAACACAUGCAAGUCGAGCGGUAACAUUCCUAGCUUGCUAGGAGAUGACGAGCGGCGGACGGGUGAGUAAUGCUUGGGAAUAUGCCAUAGGGUGGGGGACAACAGUUGGAAACGACUGCUAAUACCGCAUAAUGUUUUACUUUUAGCGAGUAGAACCAAAGGAGGGGCUCUUCGGACCUUUCGCCUUUUGAUUAGCCCAAGUGAGAUUAGCUAGUUGGUGAGGUAAUGGCUCACCAAGGCGACGAUCUCUAGCUGGUUUGAGAGGAUGAUCAGCCACACUGGGACUGAGACACGGCCCAGACUCCUACGGGAGGCAGCAGUGGGGAAUAUUGCACAAUGGGGGAAACCCUGAUGCAGCCAUGCCGCGUGUGUGAAGAAGGCCUUCGGGUUGUAAAGCACUUUCAGUUGUGAGGAAAGGUUAUUGCUUAAUACGUAAUAGCUGUGACGUUAGCAACAGAAGAAGCACCGGCUAACUCCGUGCCAGCAGCCGCGGUAAUACGGAGGGUGCGAGCGUUAAUCGGAAUUACUGGGCGUAAAGCGUGCGUAGGCGGUUAUUUAAGCAAGAUGUGAAAGCCCAGGGCUCAACCUUGGAACUGCAUUUUGAACUGGGUAACUAGAGUAUUGUAGAGGGUGGUGGAAUUUCCAGUGUAGCGGUGAAAUGCGUAGAGAUUGGAAGGAACAUCAGUGGCGAAGGCGGCCACCUGCACAAAUACUGACGCUGAGGCACGAAAGCGUGGGGAGCGAACAGGAUUAGAUACCCUGGUAGUCCACGCCGUAAACGAUGUCAACUAGCUGUCU
Molecule: ribosomal RNA, 839 nt
Filed under: uncultured bacterium
Lineage: Bacteria
Description: bacterial SSU rRNA
Rfam family: Bacterial small subunit ribosomal RNA
Source: RNAcentral